RNAcentral lists this small RNA (19 nucleotides) under Arabidopsis thaliana (thale cress). RNAcentral describes it as "Ath_wt_16797". The record is from RNAcentral. Lineage: Eukaryota; Viridiplantae; Streptophyta; Magnoliopsida; Brassicales; Brassicaceae.
CGGCUGCUUUGUUGAGCCG